RNAcentral lists this small nuclear RNA (196 nucleotides) under Theobroma cacao (cacao). RNAcentral's name for it is "snRNA U2". It matches the Rfam family "U2 spliceosomal RNA". From Rfam's summary of the family: U2 is a small nuclear RNA (snRNA) component of the spliceosome (involved in pre-mRNA splicing). Complementary binding between U2 snRNA (in an area lying towards the 5' end but 3' to hairpin I) and the branchpoint sequence (BPS) of the intron results the bulging out of an unpaired adenosine, on the BPS, which initiates a nucleophilic attack at the intronic 5' splice site, thus starting the first of two transesterification reactions that mediate splicing. The record is from Rfam by way of RNAcentral. Lineage: Eukaryota; Viridiplantae; Streptophyta; Magnoliopsida; Malvales; Malvaceae.
AUACCUUUCUCGGCCUUUUGGCUAAGAUCAAGUGUAGUAUCUGUUCUUAUCAGUUUAAUAUCUGAUACGUGGAUUACUAAUCCACAUGAUAUUAAAUUAGUUUUUUUAGGGGAGAGCUCAUCAUUAAUAGCUUGCUAUUAGAGUUCUUGAGUGUCGUUCAUGCGUUGCACUAUAGCAUGGGCUUGGCGCAACCCAU